GACAGAGGGUGCAAACGUUGUUCGGAAUUACUGGGCGUAAAGCGCGUGUAGGCGGCUCGGAAAGUCGGAUGUGAAAGCCCUGGGCUUAACCUAGGAAGUGCAUUCGAAACUCCCGAGCUUGAGUUCUGGAGAGGAAGGCGGAAUUCUCGGUGUAGAGGUGAAAUUCGUAGAUAUCGUCAAGAACACCUAUAGCGAAGGCAGCUUACUGGGCUGUAACUGACGCUGAGGCACGAAAGUGUGGGGAUCAAACAGG
Molecule: ribosomal RNA, 253 nt
Filed under: uncultured bacterium
Lineage: Bacteria
Description: partial 16S ribosomal RNA
Rfam family: Bacterial small subunit ribosomal RNA
Source: RNAcentral